CCGGUAGCUCAGUUGGUAGAGCAGAGGAUUGAAAAUCCUUGUGUCGGUGGUUCGAUUCCGCCCCA
RNAcentral lists this transfer RNA (65 nucleotides) under Noviherbaspirillum massiliense. It matches the Rfam family "tRNA", at positions 6 to 65 of the family's 71-position model. From Rfam's summary of the family: Transfer RNA (tRNA) molecules are approximately 80 nucleotides in length. Their secondary structure includes four short double-helical elements and three loops (D, anti-codon, and T loops). The record is from RNAcentral. Lineage: Bacteria; Pseudomonadati; Pseudomonadota; Betaproteobacteria; Burkholderiales; Oxalobacteraceae.